AGUCGAGCGGGGAAAAGUAGCUUGCUACUUGACCUAGCGGCGGACGGGUGAGUAAUGCUUAGGAAUCUGCCUAUUAGUGGGGGACAACAUCUCGAAAGGGAUGCUAAUACCGCAUACGUCCUACGGGAGAAAGCAGGGGACCUUCGGGCCUUGCGCUAAUAGAUGAGCCUAAGUCGGAUUAGCUAGUUGGUGGGGUAAAGGCCUACCAAGGCGACGAUCUGUAGCGGGUCUGAGAGGAUGAUCCGCCACACUGGGACUGAGACACGGCCCAGACUCCUACGGGAGGCAGCAGUGGGGAAUAUUGGACAAUGGGGGGAACCCUGAUCCAGCCAUGCCGCGUGUGUGAAGAAGGCCUUUUGGUUGUAAAGCACUUUAAGCGAGGAGGAGGCUACCGAGAUUAAUACUCUUGGAUAGUGGACGUUACUCGCAGAAUAAGCACCGGCUAACUCUGUGCCAGCAGCCGCGGUAAUACAGAGGGUGCAAGCGUUAAUCGGAUUUACUGGGCGUAAAGCGCGCGUAGGUGGCCAAUUAAGUCAAAUGUGAAAUCCCCGAGCUUAACUUGGGAAUUGCAUUCGAUACUGGUUGGCUAGAGUAUGGGAGAGGAUGGUAGAAUUCCAGGUGUAGCGGUGAAAUGCGUAGAGAUCUGGAGGAAUACCGAUGGCGAAGGCAGCCAUCUGGCCUAAUACUGACACUGAGGUGCGAAAGCAUGGGGAGCAAACAGGAUUAGAUACCCUGGUAGUCCAUGCCGUAAACGAUGUCUACUAGCCGUUGGGGCCUUUGAGGCUUUAGUGGCGCAGCUAACGCGAUAAGUAGACCGCCUGGGGAGUACGGUCGCAAGACUAAAACUCAAAUGAAUUGACGGGGGCCCGCACAAGCGGUGGANCAUGUGGUUUAAUUCGAUGCAACGCGAANANCCNUACCUGGUCUUGACAUAGUAAGAACUUUCCAGANAUGGANUGGUGCC
This 964-nucleotide ribosomal RNA is filed under the name uncultured bacterium. RNAcentral describes it as "bacterial SSU rRNA". It matches the Rfam family "Bacterial small subunit ribosomal RNA", at positions 60 to 1018 of the family's 1533-position model. The record is from RNAcentral.